UGAGGAAUAUUGGUCAAUGGGCGAGAGCCUGAACCAGCCAAGUCGCGUGAAGGAUGACUGUCUUAUGGAUUGUAAACUUCUUUUAUACGGGAAUAACAAGAGUCACGUGUGGCUCCCUGCAUGUACCGUAUGAAUAAGCAUCGGCUAACUCCGUGCCAGCAGCCGCGGUAAUACGGAGGAUGCGAGCGUUAUCCGGAUUUAUUGGGUUUAAAGGGUGCGUAGGCGGCCUGUUAAGUCAGCGGUGAAAUCUAGGAGCUUAACUCCUAAAUUGCCAUUGAUACUGGCGGGCUUGAGUGUAGAUGAGGUAGGCGGAAUACGUGGUGUAGCGGUGGAAUGCAUAGAUAUCACGCAGAACUCCGAUUGCGAAGGCAGCUUACUAAGGUACAACUGACGCUGAAGCACGAAAGCGUGGGUAUCAAACAGGAUUAGAUACCCUGGUAGUCCACGCAGUAAACGAUGAUAACUGGGCGUAUGCGAUAUACAGUAUGCUCCUAAGCGAAAGCGUUAAGUUAUCCACCUGGGGAGUACGCCGGCACGGU
RNAcentral lists this ribosomal RNA (539 nucleotides) under uncultured bacterium. Its description in RNAcentral is "bacterial SSU rRNA". It matches the Rfam family "Bacterial small subunit ribosomal RNA", at positions 355 to 895 of the family's 1533-position model. The record is from RNAcentral.